RNAcentral lists this ribosomal RNA (440 nucleotides) under uncultured bacterium. RNAcentral's name for it is "partial 16S ribosomal RNA". It matches the Rfam family "Bacterial small subunit ribosomal RNA", at positions 338 to 795 of the family's 1533-position model. The record is from RNAcentral.
CCUACGGGAGGCUGCAGUGGGGGAUAUUGCACAAUGGGGGAAACUCUGAUGCAGCGACGCCGCGUGUAGGAAGACGGUCCUCUGGAUUGUAAACUACUGUCCCCAGGGACGAAGAUGACGGUACCUGGGGAGGAAGCUCCGGCUAACUACGUGCCAGCAGCCGCGGUAAUACGUAGGGAGCGAGCGUUGUCCGGAAUUACUGGGUGUAAAGGGAGCGUAGGCGGGGAUGCAAGUUGGGUGUUAAAUCUACCGGCUCAACUGGUAGUCGCACUCAAAACUGCAGCUCUUGAGUGAAGUAGAGGCAGGCGGAAUGCCUAGUGUAGCGGUGAAAUGCGUAGAUAUUAGGAGGAACACCAGAGGCGAAGGCGGCCUGCUGGGCUUUUACUGACGCUGAGGCUCGAAAGUGUGGGGAGCAAACAGGAUUAGAUACCCCAGUAGUC